ACCUUAUAUAGAUGUAGUAACGCAAGACAGUUGCGCAUUUCCCUGUAAGGUGGUGUUUCAAUAGAAGUAUAAACAACAAGUCUCAUUGUGUGGCUACGAGUCGAAAUGAGAUGAGUUUAUAUGAAAUAGGUUAACCGUAAGACCUUGAGUUGAAAAACUCUGAAAUUGAACUAGGGAUUAAAUUUCUGAAAUUUCGUAUUCUCUAGUUACGGUGGU
This 216-nucleotide non-coding RNA is filed under the name unclassified sequences. RNAcentral's name for it is "IS605-orfB-I RNA". It matches the Rfam family "IS605-orfB-I RNA". The record is from Rfam by way of RNAcentral.